This 392-nucleotide ribosomal RNA is filed under the name Haemophilus influenzae PittII. RNAcentral's name for it is "bacterial LSU rRNA". It matches the Rfam family "Bacterial large subunit ribosomal RNA", at positions 2533 to 2925 of the family's 2925-position model. The record is from RNAcentral. Lineage: Bacteria; Pseudomonadati; Pseudomonadota; Gammaproteobacteria; Pasteurellales; Pasteurellaceae.
CGGCUCAUCCCUUCUGGGGGUUGAAGAGGGUCCCAAGGGUAUGGGUUUUGGCCAUUUAAGUGGUUCGCGAAGUUGGUUUAGAACGUUGUGAGACAGUUUGGGUCCCUAUCUGCGGUGGGCGUAGGAUGAUUGAUUGGGGCUGCUCCUAGUACGAGAGGACCGGAGUGGACGCAUCAUUGGUGUUCCAGUUGUCUCGCCAGAGGCAUUGCUGGGUAGCUAAGUGCGGAAGAGAUAAGUGCUGAAAGCAUCUAAGCACGAAACUUGCCAAGAGAUGAGUCAUCCCUGACUUUAAGUCAGUAAGGGUUGUUGUAGACUACGACGUAGAUAGGUCUGGUGUGUAAGUGUAGUGAUACAUUGAGCUAACAGAUACUAAUUGCCCGAGAGGCUUAACU